RNAcentral lists this ribosomal RNA (492 nucleotides) under uncultured bacterium. RNAcentral describes it as "partial 16S ribosomal RNA". It matches the Rfam family "Bacterial small subunit ribosomal RNA", at positions 29 to 507 of the family's 1533-position model. The record is from RNAcentral.
AGUGAACGCUGGCGGUAGGCCUAACACAUGCAAGUCGAACGGCAGCACAGUAAGAGCUUGCUCUUACGGGUGGCGAGUGGCGGACGGGUGAGGAAUACAUCGGAAUCUACUUUUUCGUGGGGGAUAACGUAGGGAAACUUACGCUAAUACCGCAUACGACCUACGGUUGAAAGCAGGGGAUCUUCGGACCUUGCGCGAUUGAAUGAGCCGAUGUCGGAUUAGCUAGUUGGCGGGGUAAAGGCCCACCAAGGCGACGAUCCGUAGCUGGUCUGAGAGGAUGAUCAGCCACACUGGAACUGAGACACGGUCCAGGCUACUACGGGAGGCAGCAGUGGGGAAUAUUAGACAAUGGGCGCAAGCCUGAUCCAGCCAUACCGCGUGGGUGAAGAAGGCCUUCGGGUUGUAAAGCCCUUUUGUUGGGAAAGAAAAGCAGCAGGUUAAUACCCCGCUGUUCUGACGGUACCCAAAGAAUAAGCACCGGCUAACUUCGUG